This is a long non-coding RNA of Acanthopagrus latus (yellowfin seabream), 579 nucleotides long. RefSeq lists it as uncharacterized. NCBI's taxonomy places the organism in Eukaryota, Metazoa, Chordata, Actinopteri, Spariformes, Sparidae. The record is from RefSeq and is a predicted model, not a curated record. The transcript is spliced from 3 exons.
GUGACGGGCGCCUGCGUCAUCGCUGAAGUCGAUGACGCGGCAUUCGUAGGUGCCCUCAUCAGACGAUUUGACCCGGGAGAGGCGGAGUUUAUGGGAGAUGUUGCUUCCCACGACCUUCACCACCUGGCAAAGGUAAUGCGCAGCUCACUUCGAAGUUAAUAAGCAGGGAAAAGCCAAAUUUGUUCUUGAGUCACUACAAGAUCGUGGCGUCUCCCUCAGUAAAAGGUACUCCCUGCUUGUAGGAAACUGUUCGCCUGGCCAUAAAGAUGCAGGGGCGUUUAUGAGAAUCUGAAGAUGAUUCAGUGCAGGCCGUACCCCCUCAAGAGGACACUUAACCACCCACCAGCACCAGCGCUGCCUGCUCUUUGGCUGACACUGUGAUUCUACAAACCCAUCAAGGAUGAAGCGAACGUGUUGAUGGGUCCGCUGGAGCGCUCGCCGCACUGAGUGAGAAUCACGUCCGUGUGUGUCGUACAGCGCAAGUACAACAUCUGCGAAUCAUCCUGAACAAGAAAUUUAAAUGCAAUCACCAGGCUUUUGUGCCUCAUUUCUUCAUGUAACACCAGAAGCAAACAGAAG